Molecule: non-coding RNA, 1774 nt
Organism: Camellia sinensis
Lineage: Eukaryota; Viridiplantae; Streptophyta; Magnoliopsida; Ericales; Theaceae
Source: RefSeq, a predicted model, not a curated record
CUGUUCUCUAUUUGCACCCAACAAUUUGUUCAAACCUCUCACACAUUCUCCUUCACCACCAAACCUCACCCAACUUCACCUCACUGCAGACCACCGCCACUGACGCAGAUCGCCAUGGCCACAGAUCGCCACUGUCGUCGAUGAUCUUCCUCCGUCCUUCGCUGGUGCCUCUCUCUCUCUCUCUCUCUCUCUCUCUCUUUCUCUCUCUCUCUCUCUCUCUCUCCUAAACACCCACCGCCAUCGAUGAUCCUCCUCCAUCUCCUCCGCUGGUGCCUCCGCCGGAUCCGAGAAGAUCGUCGAGAUCUGAAUUAGAUUUGAGUCCCAGGCCAAGAUCUGACCGUCGUGAGCGAUCCACACAUAUCUAUCGGCGGCAGUGAAGAUGGAGAGACCAUGCCUAACGGUUGAGAUCUGAAUCAGAUUCGAUUUCGCGAUCUAAAAAUCUCUUAAGCACUCAGAUGUCUGUGAUUUCUGCUCCAAUCAACACCUCUUUCUAAGAUCUGAGUCAGAUUCGAUGGCGGCGAAGAAUGCUGGGAUUCGCUGAUAAAACCACGAUUUCGACAAAGAAGAACAAGUGUUCAAUCAAUCAUCAGCGGGAAAAAAGGGGCUUCAUUGGAGUUGGGUUUAUCAGAUCAUCAUCAUCAUCAUUAUCAUCUUCAUCUUCUGCAUCUAAAAAGAGAGAAAAAUGAAGUAUGUGUUGGUGACAGGCGGCGUAGUUAGCGGUCUUGGGAAAGAUGUGACUGCCAGUAGCUUUGGUGUCAUUCUCAAGGCUUGUGGGCUUCAUGUUACUUCUAUUAAGAUUGUUCAGUUUAGUUUUUUUGAAAAAAAAAUUUGCUCUUUUACACUAUUGUUACUUUGAGUUAUGUACAGAACUUAGCUGGGUAAUUUGGGUUUUCUUCUUGUUUGUAAUGUCUUUGAAAGAAGCCUAUUUUUGUUUCAACCACCCUUGUGAAAUGUUCACAAUGUUCUGUCUUUUUACUAGUGCUUCCAUUUUUGUUUAAUUACAGAACCCAAUUUGAGAAAACAACGAGUAGUUAUUGCUUACUCACAAUUUGCUCUUUCAUUCAGAUCCUUACUUGAACACUGAUGCGGGAACAAUGUCCCCUUUUGAGAAUAGGCAAGUGUUUGUUCUAGAUGAUGGUGGAGAGUAGUAGAGGAGAGGAGAAGCAAAAAUAGAUCCAUGGAUUGAAUGUCUACUCUUCAUCUCCGGCUUGUAGCGGUCCCCUAACAGCACAAUGAUUUAAUCAUUUUAAUGAUCUUUUUUUCUUCCUAAUUAGUUCUUGAAAUUUUGGAACUUUUCCAUUUAAUUGUUUUUGUUGUUUGGCUUUUCUCAUAACAGAUCCAUAUGCUGAGGUGAUUGCACUAUCUCCCAAGACCCUAAUGGCAACAAACCAGUUCAUUUGUGAGGUAUGCAACAAAGGUUUCCAAAGGGACUGCGGUACUCUCUUUUCAAGAUGAACUCGUGCGCGAAGCUGAAUUGUACAGGGCUAGUUGGCACUUGUUACAUUUUUUGAAGGAUUAUAUAUUUUUGGAUAGAUGUAUAUGAAAAAUAUUUGAGUAGACUACUAGUUAUAUUUUUGGAUAGAUGCGUAUGGAUAAAAAUUUAAAACAUAAUAACAACUACUUGUUAUGUUUUAAAUUUUUAUACUAUAUGUGAAUUGGAUAAUUAUAUAGAUUACAUGACAUAUUAAUUGAACGAUUAUGUAGUUGGGAAUUACUUGUGAAUGAAAACUUAUAAUAGUUGAUUUUAAUUAAACACGUUAAUUUUUGGCUGAUU